Long non-coding RNA from Suricata suricatta (meerkat), 2577 nucleotides. RefSeq lists it as uncharacterized. The record is from RefSeq and is a predicted model, not a curated record. NCBI's taxonomy places the organism in Eukaryota, Metazoa, Chordata, Mammalia, Carnivora, Herpestidae. The transcript is spliced from 3 exons.
UUCUUUCUGCUUUACAAGUCCCCGCCAGGCACACUCCACCCAGCUCCAUACCUGUCUCACGCAUCAGGUUCGGGGGUGGGGAGGGGGCGGUCCCUUAGCUCAUUAAAAAAAAAAAAAAAAGUUCUUUGACUCGAUUUACCUUAGGGGCCAUGGGGUUUAGGAGGACACCGGCCGGCCCCGAAGCCACGCACCCACCCACGCCUUCCUUCGGCGCUCCCGGGAACCUGGGCCAGGAGCCGCGGCGGGCCACCCGCGCCGCGUAGGGGCGGCCUUCCCGCCCUCCCCCGCAGCGCGGGGCCCGCGGGGAGGGGGGUUGGAGGAGGAGGAGGAGGAGGAAGAAGCCCGGACGAGCAGUACCCACCGCGCCCGGAGAGCCAGCCCGGAUCGCCCGCGGCGCCCAGCGCGGUCCGGAGGGGAGGGUCGCGGAGGAGGGGCGGCCCAAGCCCCAAUCUGGAAAUGCCAACUCCGCUCGGCGGCCGGGCCCCAGCCUAGAAGGAAACGGAAGUCCCUUCGCCUCCCUCAGGCGCACCCACCAGCCCGCCCAUCUCCCAGAGGAGCCCCGAGUCGGGGAACCCGAGGACUGGUCCCCUGCAGUACGGCUUGCACAAGGCCAUCUGAGUUAAACCCUUCAACACUGAUUCCCAAACAACAUUAAAACUCCUUAGCUUGAUGUUUACUAUCCUCUUGGACACCUGGACACCUUACUGUGGACUGAAAGAAAACCAACCCCAAAUUAGAAUCUAAAAUGGUGCCUGGCAUAUGGUAGGUACUCAAGACAGAUCAGAUCACCCCUCCGCCUUAAACCCUGAAGAGGCUUCUCACUCGGUAGAGGCAAACACAGGAAGCUGUGGGAAUCCAAACAGCUUCAGGUAGGGGAGAGCAGAUCAGAGCUGGCUCUACACGGGACUUGAGUCUUAAAGGACAACCAAGAGUUAGCUAAGUGACGCAGUGGGAGAAAGUCAUUCUAAUCAAACAUGUCAGCAUGUGCUAACUCAUAGAAGCGGAACAAAACGGCGUGUAGUUGGAGAAUGGCAGUUAAUGCCUUAUGGCCAGGCUAUACCAGCUAGCAUUUAUUGAGUGUUUUUUAUGUUCACCCUGUGUUAAAUGCAUUACAUAGAUGAUCACAUGUAAUCAUCAUGCAAUUCUAGGAAGGUAAUUCUAUUAUCCCCACUUCACAGGUAAGAAAACUGGGGACAAAAAGUUAGGCAGCCUGAGGUCUCAAAACUAGUAAGGCGGAGGUAUGGGUAGAUGGUGAUGUGGGGACGAAUGGAGGCUGACAGAGAGCUGAGCCUCCAGAGAGGCCGUCAGGGCCCAGGUGAAAUCCUUGUGUGGUAGUCUACUUGGGCUGCCAUAACGAAUACCACAGACCGGGUGGCCUACACGACAGAAAUGUAUUUUUUCAUGGUUGUGGAGGCUGCACGUCUGAGAUCAAGGUGUUGGCAGGUUCACUUGCUUCUGAGGUCUGUCCUCUAGGCUUGCAGAUGCUGUCUUCUCUCUGUGUCUAAAUUGACACAGUGUCUUCUUUCUUGUUGUGUCUGUAUCCUAAUCUCCUCUCCUUGAUAAAGACAUCUGUCAUAUUGGAUUAGGGCAUACCCUCAUCACCUCAUUUUAACUUAAUUACCUCUUCAAAGGCCUUAUCUGCAACUACAGCCACAUUCUGAGGUACUGUGGCUUGGGACUGCAACGUGAAUUUGGGGAAGGGGACAAUCCGGUCCAUAACGCCUUGCAUGGCACGUUCAGUCAUUUGGCCUUUAUCACAUAAGGCAGGGGUUCCCAUAUCUGAUGGCGAACCAGAAUCACCUGAACAGAUUUCUGAUGCUACUGAUUCUUGAACACUCCCCACGGCCAUGAUUCAGAGUCAGUAAAGCGAGGUUAUGUUUGGGGGAAACGUAAAGCUUCCCCGCAGUCUCCAGCUGAUUCUGGUGCUGUGUCUAGCUGGGCUGUGUUUGGGGGAAAUCAAUUCCAGGCUGAUUACAGAUAGAAAUGUGAAAGGUAAAACUUUAAUAUUUUCAAAGAAAAUACAAGAGAGUAUAAUUUUAUCACAAGGUAGGAAAUGAUUCCUUAGACUUGUGGUGUUCAUCCUUUUUGCUCUUAUAUCCCUAAAAGAAUUUGGAAAAUUUAUGGAUCCACUUUCACAUGUUUAAUGUGACAUAAAAUCAUUUUCAUUAUAAGUUAAAAUAAUUACAAAGGAUAUACUUUCCAGUACAUUAUAAACAUUUUAUUUUUUUUUAAGUAAUCUCCACACCCAACAUGGGGUUUGAACUCACAUAUCCAACAUCAAGAGCCACACAGUCCACCGACUGAGCCAGCCAGGUGCCCCUCCAGUGUAUUAUAAAUGUUGGCAUAAAACCCAAAUCUAUCAUUAAUUUAAAUGAAUUUUAAAUAUCAUAGUGAUUUGAUACCCACUGUCAUCCACUUGAAAAUCAAAGGAAAAAGCUCUUCUUUAGGUGCCAGAAAGUUUAUAUCUACUUUUGUCUUUAAUUCAUUUAUCCAUUCCACUUCCACCAUAGAAUUUUAUUUAAUGUGAUAUAUUUUUAUGCUUUCAAGUCUUUUAUUGAUCACCCUAUCAUAGGUCUU